UAGUGAGUUGAUUUGUUUUUCCGCUGUUUCCAUGUCAACGGUUAGAGAAACGCCCACGAAAAUUUGAAUUUUUGUCUUUACCGUUUGAGAAAAACAACAAAUGAUAUUGUAAUUAAUCUUUGCAAUUAAUUAGUUUCUUUUGUUUAUUAUUCUAAUUAGUGUAAUCUUGAUCAUCUUCCAAUUUGAAGAUGAUUAAUUUAGCCCAAUUAUUCUCACCCAAAAUGAUAAUUUCCAGUUGAGACAAUUUAGUUUUGUUUCCCUGUCAAAGUGAUUACAUAAAACAAAACCUACACGUUACAAUCAUAACCAUCAUCCUACAAUAAUCAACAUCUUAAUCACCAUCAAAUUUUGUGAUCCAAUCAACAAUCAACAUUCUUAUCAUCACCAUCACAAUCAACUGCAGCUGAUAAUCAUUUAAAAUUCAACAUUCUAACGAUCCUCAUGCUGGAAAUAUAUGGUAAAUACGAUGAACUGGCCUGUAAACGAAUUCAAGAAUGACCAUUUUAUGCUCUUAUAUGUUUACCUUGGAAAAGAAAACAACAAUGUUAAUGUUUAUGGACGAUUUUCAGACAAUUAGUAUUUUCUAAUCGUACAAUCAUUACGAUUUCUGAUGGAAACAUUGAAUUUCAAUUAUUUGGAGUUGGAAUGAAAUUGAUCUCAGUUACAGUACAGUGUAUUAGAUUGUCGUUGAUUGAUGGAUGGAUGGUUCUUAUUUCUCAAUGAACUAACCUCAGAUGAUCGAGUAUCGGAUGAAUCGACCGGUUCCUUACAUAAUCGGGAUACAAAUCUAUACUGUUUUUCGUGAACAUUUUCAUCUCACUAAUUAAUAUCGUGAAUGUUAACUACUUGGGAACAAUUAGUGUUACAUCAAGCAAUUUAUUAAUUACUCUUCGUGAUACAUUAGGUUACAUUUUAUUGGUUGCUGUUAGAAAAUGGUCAUCACCGGUUACAAUCAACUAGUCAUUUCUACGAUUCAUUCACUAAACUAAUCACAAAACAAAUCAAAAUAACAAAAUCUUUGAUUGUUGAUUAACUUCAAUUGGUCUUCGUUAGCUGAUAAACUAAACAAUUUUGGUAGUUGGUGUCUAUCGAUUCAGUCAAUUCGCACCUCAAAUGGACUUCAGUUCCAGUGAAGUUUUAUUCAACUUAUUUCCAUUUAAUUGAUUCAUCAAUUUUGUCUCUCAUUUAAAAACAUCUAUUUAAUCAACAAGUUCACUUGCCCUUCCAUUCAUGAUAUUAUCAUAUAAGAAGUGAUAACUUUCGUUAUCAGGCAAUUAAACUUUUUCUUGACCGAACAAUCAAUAAUCGUUGAUUAUACCACUAAUUAUGAAGCUUCAAUUACCUUUUACAUUGGUGAUCAUUUGGCACCCCGAUUAGAUGAUUCGAUGGAAAUUAGAUUGGAAUAUGUUUAAUUAAUUAAGCCAAGAAUUAGGAUCAACUCAUUUUGUCCCUCACUGUGAUUACCAAUAGUUUCAUUAGAGAAUCAAAUCAAUCAUCAUCAACCAACACUUCUUAAUUGUUGGUGUUAAUAAAGUUCAUUAAGUUAUCAAUUUCAUUGGAAUAACGGUCUUGUUAUGAGAGGAAAUCUUAAUCGACAAUCAAAUCUAAUUAAAAGUUUUCCAAUCAUAAAAGUUUUCAUCGAGUAUUCAAUUAACUAGGAAUUGAAUUUUCCAUUCUCAACAAUUGAUCGAAAAAGUUAAAUUUUCUUUUUUUUCUGACAUUUAAUUUCUAAUUGUUCCUUAAACGAGUUGAGGUUUUAAUUAUUUUCUAAUUAAUUUCUGAAUUUUUUUUCCUUGAUUUUCUAGAUCAUCAACUGAUUGUUAAAGUUUUGAUGGUUGUCAACUUCAAAGUAGUUUAAAUGUUUCUCUUGGGACAUUAAUUAUCUAACUGUUAAUUUGGUUUGGACAAUCACAAUUUAGAAGACAAUUUAACUCAAUUAGAUGUCACUUAGCUCAUUAAUUUAGUCCUGUUUUCACCAGACUAAUCAAGACAAACACAAACACACACUCAAACAUUAUCAGUGGCAACAAUUAACCAAACAAUUAGUGAAAGAAAGUCAAAUAAUUAGACACCAUUAACCAAAGAUGAAAUUAAAAUGAUCAAUCAACUAAUCUACAGACUCACACAUAAAUUAAACACGAAUUUAAAUGUGACCAGGUUAACAUGUUUGAUUUGUUAAUUAUGUUUACCAAACUUAAAUCUUCCAACUGAUUGUAAAUCUAGAUACUCGUUGAUUACUUUAGGUGUGCCGUUAAUUUUGUCUUUGACUAAAUCAUAUAAACGCAUUUAUACAUAACAACCUAACCCGAAAA
Panonychus citri (citrus red mite) is the source of this 2312-nucleotide long non-coding RNA. RefSeq lists it as uncharacterized. The transcript is spliced from 3 exons. The record is from RefSeq and is a predicted model, not a curated record. NCBI's taxonomy places the organism in Eukaryota, Metazoa, Arthropoda, Arachnida, Trombidiformes, Tetranychidae.